RNAcentral lists this ribosomal RNA (234 nucleotides) under uncultured bacterium. RNAcentral describes it as "partial 16S ribosomal RNA". It matches the Rfam family "Bacterial small subunit ribosomal RNA", at positions 15 to 240 of the family's 1533-position model. The record is from RNAcentral.
GAUCCUGGCUCAGGACGAACGCUGGCGGCAUGCCUAACACAUGCAAGUCGAACGGAGAUAUUUGGAAGCUUGCUUCUGGAUAUCUUAGUGGCGGACGGGCGAGUAACGCGUGAGCAACCUGGCCUUCAGAGUGGAACAACGUCUGGAAACGGGCGCUAAUACCGCAUAAUACAAGAGAGUCGCAUGGCUUUUUUGUCAAAGGAGAAAUCCACUGAAGGAUGGGCUCGCGUCCGA